RNAcentral lists this transfer RNA (72 nucleotides) under Camelus bactrianus (Bactrian camel). It matches the Rfam family "tRNA". Rfam says of the family: Transfer RNA (tRNA) molecules are approximately 80 nucleotides in length. The record is from Rfam by way of RNAcentral. RNAcentral also lists the same sequence under 2 other names. Lineage: Eukaryota; Metazoa; Chordata; Mammalia; Artiodactyla; Camelidae.
AAGGGUAUAGCUCAGUGGUAGAGCGUGUGCUUAGCAUGCACGAGGUCCUGGGUUCAAUCUCCGGUAUCUCAA